UACGGAGGGGGCGAGCGUUAUUCGGAAUUAUUGGGCGUAAAGGGCGCGUAGGCGGCCCGCUAAGUUAGAUGUGAAAACUCUGGGCUCAACCCAGAGCCUGCAUCUAAUACUGACGGGCUAGAGUUCUGGAGGGGGUAGCGGAAUUCCUGGUGUAGCGGUGAAAUGCGUAGAUAUCGGAAGGAACAUCAGUGGCGAAAGCGGCUUCCUGGUCCAGCACCGACGUUCAGGCACGAAAGCGUGGGGAGCAAACAGG
Molecule: ribosomal RNA, 253 nt
Filed under: uncultured bacterium
Lineage: Bacteria
Description: partial 16S ribosomal RNA
Rfam family: Bacterial small subunit ribosomal RNA
Source: RNAcentral